This 410-nucleotide long non-coding RNA is filed under the name Notechis scutatus (mainland tiger snake). RNAcentral describes it as "lncRNA (ENSNSUG00000003126.1)". Lineage: Eukaryota; Metazoa; Chordata; Lepidosauria; Squamata; Elapidae. The record is from RNAcentral.
CAGAAAGUAAGCCGAAUUUUGAUUGGUCUUCCAGAGGGACCUGUCUCUGAACCAGCUACCUAGGGAGCCAAGCUCAGUUUUACUGCCCAGCUGCGUGGACCCCUUUCUAUGGACCGAAGAUGGGGAGUCUUCUACUGAGUCUGCUAGACACCCUGGGAUGGCCACUUUUAAUUCCGAGGCUGGCGAAAUAACCUGGAAUGCUGGACCAUCGGAUGCUCUGGUUUUGGCUUUGAGAGCCAGACAAGAGGCUGAACGGGAAACGGGAGAUGAAGAAAGCUUGAAGUGAAGAAUGAAGUAUUGUAAUGUACAUAUCCCACCAAGCACUUUUUAUCUAGAAUUUUGCUAUUUGUACAAAUAAGGUAAUUGUUAAAAUGAGAAAUUUUUAAAUAAAAUUACUGGGCACUUUUACA